This 172-nucleotide ribozyme is filed under the name unclassified sequences. RNAcentral describes it as "Hairpin ribozyme 1 from viruses-like metatranscriptomes". It matches the Rfam family "Hairpin ribozyme 1 from viruses-like metatranscriptomes". The record is from Rfam by way of RNAcentral.
CUUCUGUCCCCAUCACUAUGUUCUGCAUCUGCUUUCAAUGCAAAACAGGCGUCUGCCACUGUGGUGGGAGAGGAAGAGACCAGGGAAACAUGCUGUAGUCUAGUCUGGGUUUACGGGUAUGUAGCCAUUACAGCCAUAGACCUAACCAGAUUUCGGUAGCACAUUAACUGGC